AUACAGAGGGUGCGAGCGUUAAUCGGAAUUACUGGGCGUAAAGCGCGCGUAGGCGGUCUAUUAAGUCAGAUGUGAAAUCCCAGGGCUCAACCUUGGAACUGCAUCUGAUACUGGUAGACUAGAGUUUUGGAGAGGGAAGUCGAAUUUCAGGUGUAGCGGUGAAAUGCAUAGAGAUCUGAAGGAAUACCAGUGGCGAAGGCGACUUCCUGGCCAAAAACUGACGCUGAGGUGCGAAAGCGUGGGUAGCAAACGGGAUUAGAAACCCUAGUAGUCC
This 274-nucleotide ribosomal RNA is filed under the name uncultured bacterium. Its description in RNAcentral is "partial 16S ribosomal RNA". It matches the Rfam family "Bacterial small subunit ribosomal RNA", at positions 523 to 796 of the family's 1533-position model. The record is from RNAcentral.